AGCCGAGGCGAUGAGACCCUACAGAGGAGGCAGGCCGCCGCGGUGGAGCACGCCGGCCUGUCCGGCGGCCGGAUCGAGUGCGCCGCCGCCGUACUUCUCCACUCCCUCGCCCUCGUCCCCCGCGCCGCCUCCGCCCCUGUUAUCUCGCCGUCUGCCUCGGCUCGCCCUCGCUGCCGACCUCGGCCUCCGCCUCGUCCACGUCGAUGCCAACCGCGCAGAGGAGGUGGCGUCUAGAUGAUGGGUGCCGCUAUAAGUGGGAGGGAUCAAAGUUCCCGAUUUGCCUCUCCUGACCAGGAUCCUAAAAAUAAGCAAGUAUGUCUUGUUGACCUAACGGUGGAAUCAUAGUCAAGGAAACAGGUGGAGUUGAGUCCAGAGCUUGAUCAAAAACCUGUUGAUUUGCUGAAAGAUGACUUUGUUGUAGCCUUGCAUGCAAGAGAUAAUCUAGGAUUUCAUGUAGCCCGACAGAGGGUUUCUGAGAUGGCUGGUUCCCUUGACACAAUACCUAAUGCAGCAAAAAGAGAUCCUGCUGCAAAAGUUCCUUGUUGCUUUUAGCAGCAAGGUACUCCAUUAGAACAUCCCACUAAUGACCCUACUUCUGAAAGGAAAAACAAAUCCAGCUUAUCAACACUUAUUUAUCCAGGUCAUACUUGGAUUACAGUCUUUUUCUGCUGGUUAGUAUGAUUACCUUGUUUUCAUUUUAUUGUAGAGGAGCAGUGGCAUUCUUUGGUUUCAUGUUCUUAAAAUGGAUUAAUAUGGUGCAAUUUUAGAACAAGAGAAAACUUGAUGACUAACAAGGCUAAGCACAAACAACCAGAAACCUUAGCAACCAAAGAAAACCUUCAUGAUUAGAGGAUUUGUAGUUAGACUGUUGUUGCUGGUGAAGAAUUAGAUGUAUGGGAAGGCUAGGUUAUGAAGUCCUAUCAGCUAAUGUAGUUGACUUGUGAUUUUUCCUCCUUUCAAGAACUAUUGCAGGUUAAUGUACCCCUUGGCUUUUAUUCAGUUUACCGCAAGGCUUAAUUUUUUAUCCUCUUUACAUUAUUAGAUCUUGGAAUUUGUAUUUGCAGCCAUAGUUUAGAUGUAUGGAACAGAUGGAUGCUAGAAGGUUGUGUCCUGGAACAUUUAAAACUUGUCUACUGCAGAAAACCAUUGGCUGUCUUGGAUGUAAGCAUCAAGAUUCUUGCAGUGGUGGGUGAAGAUGGUGUUACUAGAUGUUUUGAUUAACUUUUCUUUUGCAGGAACUGGUUGAAGUGAAGCCACUGAUCCUUGUUUUGGAUGACGAACUCCCUCCGCUGCGUCCAUGAAAUGGAGCAUGACCACGAGCACAGACACCGGAACGCUCAACGACACCCUCACCGUCAACCCUACCCCCACCGUAGGCUGCUCCUUGAGCGGAUCAAUCUGCAGCAACCCCGAUAUAUCGCAGGAAUCUGAUUCAAAGAACUUGUGGCGGUAGUGCUUGUUCCACUCCAUCCUCGCCGGAGAUGCCUUAUCAACCCCGACCAUCACCUCCAUCUUCCCGUUGCACUGUAUGUUCUCCUCAUCAAUGCCUUCUUCUUCGUGGGCAGCAUACACGCUUGCCGCACAUCCUCUGCUGUGUUGAUGAAGCUCAAGUCGCCGCCACCGCUGCCGUCGCAAGCUGAUUUGUUGCCGUGAGGAGAAUAGUUGAAGCCCCUGAAGGAUCACAGGAGAACAGAAGGAAGCAGCUCGCAUGUUGGUGAACUGGGAAUUAGGUGCACAGGUAGGGAGCACAUGGAUCUCUGUGUUCCUGGAUCACCAGGAAUAUAGAAGAAAUCCUGUGAUGUGUAGAUGUUGCUUGAGGCUCAUAAAGUGGUGACAAGAAGGCAUCCUUCUUUUCCUCCAAGCAAAGCAACACCAGUGCGUUGUUUGCCACACAGAAUACGCAGUAUACAAUAACACAGUGAAUAUAGUAUUUACAUGAGAAUGUGUGGCAUAUUGCUUCCACGCUUCGCUAAUGGCGCGGCGUGGUUGCAGUCACUACGUUGGAUGAACACAUAGGAUACAGAGUGUGUGUGUGUGUGUGAGCGAGAGAGAGAGAUGUGCUUCAGAAGACUGACUUGCAUUGCGUGUUCGUUACAGGAGUUCACUCGCGGCUUGGCUGUCGGUCCCCCACGAUCCCGAGGAGCAGGCGGAGAGGAGGACGGAAGAGCCUGGCAAAAGAACAAACACAGUGUGCGCAUCAUCGUCUCCUUGUUCCCUUGCUUAGCGCUCUCGCCAUGUGACCUGUAUGGUCCCGAGCUGACCCCGUUGCCCUCCUUCCACCUUCCUUCCUGUAGCCGGAACGAUCCAGAUCUCACCAAGAGCUGUCUUCAUCUUUUUGUGAGGACAGACUCCAUGGCCCAGCACUUGUCUGCCUUCUCCUCGCUUUCUGCAUCCGCGGCCUCAAAUGAAACAGUGAGUGGGUGAGUGGCUCCUUUCCCUCGCCUUCACUCCAUAUCCUUAAGCAAACUCACACGCUCGGUGCUCAUCGAAGACAGAUUGUGCAUCACAAAUUGACGCCUGUCGGCACACCGCGACAUUGGCGUCGCGUGCUUUGGGGAUAGAGUGAGCAGGCGGAUGACAGCCACCGGAUUGAUCUCCAUCUUACAGCAUGAAUGGGAGGAAGCUUUUGCUGUGGAAUGUGUCACCGCAUGGGGGCCUAAGUAGUUGUAUCUCAUCGAGCAGUACUGAGAAAACAGUGGAUUUUUCCUGGUAAUGAGACGUCCUUUGGUACUCGGAUUAUAUUUAAUUGCCAUGAUUAGCUACUGUAGAUCACUGUAAUACGAACUGAUUGACAUCAAGAUUUGCACUUCUUGUUGA
Molecule: long non-coding RNA, 2817 nt
Organism: Musa acuminata AAA Group (dessert banana)
Lineage: Eukaryota; Viridiplantae; Streptophyta; Magnoliopsida; Zingiberales; Musaceae
Exons: 3
Source: RefSeq, a predicted model, not a curated record